CCUACGGGUGGCUGCAGUGAGGAAUAUUGGUCAAUGGACGAGAGUCUGAACCAGCCAAGUAGCGUGAAGGAUGACUGCCCUAUGGGUUGUAAACUUCUUUUAUAUGGGAAUAAAAUGUUCCACGUGUGGGAUUUUGUAUGUACCAUAUGAAUAAGGAUCGGCUAACUCCGUGCCAGCAGCCGCGGUAAUACGGAGGAUCCGAGCGUUAUCCGGAUUUAUUGGGUUUAAAGGGAGCGUAGUUGGAUUUUUAAGUCAGUUGUGAAAGUUUGCGGCUCAACCGUAAAAUUGCAGUUGAAACUGGCAGUCUUGAGUACAGUAGAGGUGGGCGGAAUUCGUGGUGUAGCGGUGAAAUGCUUAUAUAUCACGAAGAACUCCGAUUGCGAAGGCAGUUCACUGGACUGCAACUGACACUGAGGCUCGAAAGUGUGGGUAUCAAACAGGAUUAGAUACCCUAGUAGUC
Molecule: ribosomal RNA, 460 nt
Filed under: uncultured bacterium
Lineage: Bacteria
Description: partial 16S ribosomal RNA
Rfam family: Bacterial small subunit ribosomal RNA
Source: RNAcentral